GGGCCAUUAGCUCAGCUGGUAGAGCAGGACACUCUUAAUGUCAAGGUCGAAGGUUCGAGCCCUUCAUGGCCCACCA
RNAcentral lists this transfer RNA (76 nucleotides) under Candidatus Omnitrophota bacterium. Its description in RNAcentral is "tRNA-Lys". It matches the Rfam family "tRNA". Rfam says of the family: Transfer RNA (tRNA) molecules are approximately 80 nucleotides in length. Their secondary structure includes four short double-helical elements and three loops (D, anti-codon, and T loops). Further hydrogen bonds mediate the characteristic L-shaped molecular structure. tRNAs have two regions of fundamental functional importance: the anti-codon, which is responsible for specific mRNA codon recognition, and the 3' end, to which the tRNAs corresponding amino acid is attached (by aminoacyl-tRNA synthetases). tRNAs cope with the degeneracy of the genetic code in two manners: having more than one tRNA (with a specific anti-codon) for a particular amino acid; and 'wobble' base-pairing, i.e. permitting non-standard base-pairing at the 3rd anti-codon position. The record is from RNAcentral. Lineage: Bacteria; Pseudomonadati; Candidatus Omnitrophota.